RNAcentral lists this unclassified non-coding RNA (365 nucleotides) under Dermoloma sp. RNAcentral describes it as "partial contains 5.8S ribosomal RNA, internal transcribed spacer 2, and large subunit ribosomal RNA". The stretch from base 1 to 71 matches the Rfam family "5.8S ribosomal RNA", at positions 84 to 154 of the family's 154-position model. The record is from RNAcentral. Lineage: Eukaryota; Fungi; Basidiomycota; Agaricomycetes; Agaricales; Tricholomataceae.
GUGAAUCAUCGAAUCUUUGAACGCACCUUGCGCUCCUUGGUAUUCCGAGGAGCAUGCCUGUUUGAGUAUCAUGAAGUUCUCAACCUUUUCAGCUUUUUUUCUAUGAGAGGCUGAUCAGGCUUGGAUGAUGGGAGUUUUGCAGGCUUCACAGAAUGUCUGCUCUCCUUAAAUGCAUCAGCUGGAACCUGUUGUUGGCCAGCCUCCGGUGUGAUAAUUAUCUACACCAUGGCUGUCAGGCAUGUUACAUCCUCUUGUUGAGGGAGGUUCUGCUUCUAACAGUCUCUUUUUGAGACACUUUUGACAAUCUUUGAUCUCAAAUCAGGUAGGACUACCCGCUGAACUUAAGCAUAUCAAUAAGCGGAGGA